RNAcentral lists this ribosomal RNA (550 nucleotides) under Zhangixalus omeimontis (Omei tree frog). Its description in RNAcentral is "Rhacophorus omeimontis (Omei tree frog) partial 16S ribosomal RNA". It matches the Rfam family "Bacterial large subunit ribosomal RNA", at positions 1829 to 2597 of the family's 2925-position model. The record is from RNAcentral. Lineage: Eukaryota; Metazoa; Chordata; Amphibia; Anura; Rhacophoridae.
CGCCUCUUGAUAAAUUAUAAGAGGUCCAGCCUGCCCAGUGAAAAAUUUAACGGCCGCGGUACCCUGACCGUGCGAAGGUAGCAUAAUCACUUGUUCUUUAAAUAAGGACUAGUAUCAACGGCAUCACGAGGGUUACACUGUCUCCUUUCUCCAAUCAGUGAAACUGAUCUUCCCGUGAAGAAGCGGGAAUAUAACCAUAAGACGAGAAGACCCCAUGGAGCUUUAAAUUUUAUAGCAACUCAGUCAAAUAAACCCUUAAAAUCCACAGAGCCAUGCAUGCCAAUUUUAGGUUGGGGUGACCGCGGAGUAAAAAUUAACCUCCACGACGAAAAGAACUAGAUCUUUAUCUAAGAGUUACAACUCUAAGAAUUAGAAUACUAACGACAAUGACCCGAUAAUCGAUCAACGGACUAAGUUACCCUGGGGAUAACAGCGCAAUCUACUUCGAGAGCUCAUAUCGACAAGUAGGCUUACGACCUCGAUGUUGGAUCAGGGUAUCCCAGUGGUGCAGCCGCUACUAAUGGUUCGUUUGUUCAACGAUUAAAACCCU